This 367-nucleotide ribosomal RNA is filed under the name uncultured Streptococcus sp. Its description in RNAcentral is "bacterial SSU rRNA". It matches the Rfam family "Bacterial small subunit ribosomal RNA", at positions 1014 to 1382 of the family's 1533-position model. The record is from RNAcentral. Lineage: Bacteria; Bacillati; Bacillota; Bacilli; Lactobacillales; Streptococcaceae.
GUUACUUCGGUACAUCGGUGACAGGUGGUGCAUGGUUGUUGUCAGCUCGUGUCGUGAGAUGUUGGGUUAAGUCCCGCAACGAGCGCAACCCCUAUCUUUAGUUGCCAUCAUUGAGUUGGGCACUCUAAAGAGACUGCCGGUGUCAAACCGGAGGAAGGUGGGGAUGACGUCAAAUCAUCAUGCCCCUUAUGACCUGGGCUACACACGUGCUACAAUGGUUGGUACAACGAGUUGCGAGUCGGUGACGGCGAGCUAAUCUCUUAAAGCCAAUCUCAGUUCGGAUUGUAGGCUGCAACUCGCCUACAUGAAGUCGGAAUCGCUAGUAAUCGCGGAUCAGCACGCCGCGGUGAAUACGUUCCCGGGCCUU